RNAcentral lists this ribosomal RNA (1556 nucleotides) under Bacillus sp. HJ16. Its description in RNAcentral is "bacterial SSU rRNA". It matches the Rfam family "Bacterial small subunit ribosomal RNA". The record is from RNAcentral. Lineage: Bacteria; Bacillati; Bacillota; Bacilli; Caryophanales; Bacillaceae.
GGCCGCGGGAAUUCGAUUCCGGAUCCAGAGUUUGAUCAUGGCUCAGGACGAACGCUGGCGGCGUGCCUAAUACAUGCAAGUCGAGCGAAUCGAUGGGAGCUUGCUCCCUGAGAUUAGCGGCGGACGGGUGAGUAACACGUGGGCAACCUGCCUAUAAGACUGGGAUAACUUCGGGAAACCGGAGCUAAUACCGGAUACGUUCUUUUCUCGCAUGAGAGAAGAUGGAAAGACGGUUUACGCUGUCACUUAUAGAUGGGCCCGCGGCGCAUUAGCUAGUUGGUGAGGUAAUGGCUCACCAAGGCGACGAUGCGUAGCCGACCUGAGAGGGUGAUCGGCCACACUGGGACUGAGACACGGCCCAGACUCCUACGGGAGGCAGCAGUAGGGAAUCUCCCACAAUGGACGAAAGUCUGACGGAGCAACGCCACGUGAACGAAGAAGGCCUUCGGGUCGUAAGGUUCCGUUGUUAGGGAAUAACAAGUACCAGAGUAACUGCUGGUACCUUGACGGUACCUAACCAGAAAGCCACGGCUAACUACGUGCCGGCAGCCGCGGUAAUACGUAGGUGGCAAGCGUUGUCCGGAAUUAUUGGGCGUAAAGCGCGCGCAGGUGGUUCCUUAAGUCUGAUGUGAAAGCCCACGGCUCAACCGUGGAGGGUCAUUGGAAACUGGGGAACUUGAGUGCAGAAGAGGAAAGUGGAAUUCCAAGUGUAGCGGUGAAAUGCGUAGAGAUUUGGAGGAACACCAGUGGCGAAGGCGACUUUCUGGUCUGUAACUGACACUGAGGCGCGAAAGCGUGGGGAGCAAACAGGAUUAGAUACCCUGGUAGUCCACGCCGUAAACGAUGAGUGCUAAGUGUUAGAGGGUUUCCGCCCUUUAGUGCUGCAGCUAACGCAUUAAGCACUCCGCCUGGGGAGUACGGCCGCAAGGCUGAAUCUCAAAGGAAUUGACGGGGGCCCGCACAGGCGGUGGAGCAUGUGGUUUAAUUCGAAGCAACGCGAAGAACCUUACCAGGUCUUGACAUCCUCUGACAACCCUAGAGAUAGGGCUUUCCCCUUCGGGGGACAGAGUGACAGGUGGUGCAUGGUUGUCGUCAGCUCAUGUCGUGAGAUGUUGGGUUAAGUCCCGCAACGAGCGCAACCCUUGAUCUUAGUUGCCAGCAUUCAGUUGGGCACUCUAAGGUGACUGCCGGUGACAAACCGGAGGAAGGUGGGGAUGACGUCAAAUCAUCAUGCCCCUUAUGACCUGGGCUACACACGUGCUACAAUGGAUGGUACAAAGGGCUGCAAACCUGCGAAGGUAAGCGAAUCCCAUAAAGCCAUUCUCAGUUCGGAUUGCAGGCUGCAACUCGCCUGCAUGAAGCCGGAAUCGCUAGUAAUCGCGGAUCAGCAUGCCGCGGUGAAUACGUUCCCGGGCCUUGUACACGCCGCCCGUCACACCACGAGAGUUUGUAACACCCGAAGUCGGUGAGGUAACCUUCAUGGGGCCAGCCGCCUAAGGUGGGACAGAUGAUUGGGGUGAAGUCGUAACAAGGUAGCCGUAGGAUCCCGAAUCACU